GUCAGGGCUAUCUGGCUGUGACAUCUGUCACCCUAUUGAUCGCCAACAUUGAUGCAGCUGAUCUGGCUGGCUAGGAGGGUAUCCCCUUCCUCCCUCACCACAUGUGUCCUUCCCCAAGUUGUGUGUGCUCAGUCGCAGAGGAUGACCUUCCUCGGUCUUCAGUCAAAGGUAUACAAGUAGCUGGGCACCCCUGCUAAAACCUCCAGAUAAGCUUUCCAAGUUCAGACAGCUGGUUAAAAUUACACAAUUAAUAAAAAAAAAUUGUUU
Molecule: small nuclear RNA, 267 nt
Filed under: Jaculus jaculus (lesser Egyptian jerboa)
Lineage: Eukaryota; Metazoa; Chordata; Mammalia; Rodentia; Dipodidae
Description: 7SK RNA (ENSJJAG00000007318.1)
Rfam family: 7SK RNA
About the family: 7SK was discovered as an abundant small nuclear RNA in the mid-70s but a possible function has only recently been suggested. Two independent studies have found that 7SK RNA binds the CDK9/cyclin T complex (known as elongation factor P-TEFb).
Source: RNAcentral